RNAcentral lists this ribosomal RNA (279 nucleotides) under uncultured bacterium. Its description in RNAcentral is "partial 16S ribosomal RNA". It matches the Rfam family "Bacterial small subunit ribosomal RNA", at positions 506 to 784 of the family's 1533-position model. The record is from RNAcentral.
UGCCAGCAGCCGCGGUAAUACGGAGGGUGCAAGCGUUAAUCGGAAUUACUGGGCGUAAAGCGCGCGUAGGCGGAUACUUAAGUCGGGUGUGAAAGCCCCGGGCUCAACCUGGGAACUGCAUUCGAUACUGGGUAUCUAGAGUAUGCUAGAGGGGGGUGGAAUUUCAGGUGUAGCGGUGAAAUGCGUAGAGAUCUGAAGGAACAUCAGUGGCGAAGGCGACACUCUGGGUUGAUACUGACGCUGAGGUGCGAAAGCGUGGGUAGCAAACAGGAUUAGAUA